Molecule: ribosomal RNA, 450 nt
Filed under: uncultured bacterium
Lineage: Bacteria
Description: partial 16S ribosomal RNA
Rfam family: Bacterial small subunit ribosomal RNA
Source: RNAcentral
GUGGGGAAUCUUCCACAAUGGACGAAAGUCUGAUGGAGCAACGCCGCGUGAGUGAAGAAGGGUUUCGGCUCGUAAAGCUCUGUUGUCGGGGACGAAUGUGCAGUAUUUGAAUAAAGUAGUGCAAUGACGGUACCUGACGAGGAAGCCACGGCUAACUACGUGCCAGCAGCCGCGGUAAUACGUAGGUGGCAAGCGUUGUCCGGAAUUAUUGGGCGUAAAGGGAGCGCAGGCGGGAAGGUAAGUCGGUCUUAAAAGUGCGGGGCUCAACCCCGUGAUGGGAUCGAAACUAUCUUUCUUGAGUGCAGGAGAGGAAAGUGGAAUUCCUAGUGUAGCGGUGAAAUGCGUAGAUAUUAGGAGGAACACCAGUGGCGAAGGCGACUUUCUGGACUGUAACUGACGCUGAGGCUCGAAAGCCAGGGGAGCGAACGGGAUUAGAUACCCGGGUAGUCC